Molecule: ribosomal RNA, 423 nt
Filed under: uncultured eukaryote
Lineage: Eukaryota
Description: bacterial SSU rRNA
Rfam family: Eukaryotic small subunit ribosomal RNA
Source: RNAcentral
CAAGAGCGUAUAUUAAAGUUGUUGCAGUUAAAAAGCUCGUAGUUGGAUUUCUGGUACAAUGCGCCUGGCCCGCGGCGGUUACGUCUGUGAGUGCCGGUGCGCGUUUGCCAUCCUUCUAGAAAACGUUUCUACCCUUCACUGGGCCGGACUCGCGAUCUAGAUCUUUACUUGAAAAAUUAGAGUGUUUAAAGCAGGCAAUUGCUGUGAAUACAUUAGCAUGGAAUAAUAAUCUAGGACUUCGGUUCUAUUUUGUUGGUUUCUAGUACUGAAGUAAUGAUUGAUAGGGACAGUUGGGGGCAUUAGUAUUUAAUUGUCAGAGGUGAAAUUCUUGGAUUUAUGAAAGACUAACUACUGCGAAAGCAUUUGCCAAGGAUGUUUUUCAUUAAUCAAGAACGAAAGUUAGGGGAUCGAAGAUGAUUAGAU